UGUUGAAGCACGUCAUCCUGUUUA
Molecule: microRNA, 24 nt
Filed under: Spodoptera frugiperda (fall armyworm)
Lineage: Eukaryota; Metazoa; Arthropoda; Insecta; Lepidoptera; Noctuidae
Description: sfr-miR-10452-5p
Source: miRBase by way of RNAcentral